AUGGACCCAACUGAGAUUUUGAACGUUCGGUUUCAUAUUGGAGGGAAGUUCAUCCGCAUUGGUCCAAAUUUGGACUAUGUUGGGGAUCAAGCAAUGUCAGAGAUUGAGAGGGAUAAAUUGUCUUUGCAGGAAGUGAAAGGCUAUUUAAAAGAUCAUACUCAGUUGAUGGAAUCGAUGAAGUUCUAUUUUCUGCUUCCUGGAAAAGAGCUUAUCAAUGGCUUGGUGUUCCUUAAUGAUGACAGUUGGUGUGUGAAGAUGGCUGAGUACAUUUGUGUUGGAGGAGUUGCUGAUGUGUAUGUGGAGUAUCAUGGAGAGGAAGAUAGCAAUGACAGCAGCAGUGGGAGUGAUUUUGAGGAUGAAAUCAUGGAACAGAGUGAUGAUGAUGAAUUAGAUGCAGUUAUAACUGCUGAAGAACCA
Molecule: ribosomal RNA, 417 nt
Filed under: Triticum aestivum (bread wheat)
Lineage: Eukaryota; Viridiplantae; Streptophyta; Magnoliopsida; Poales; Poaceae
Description: partial small subunit ribosomal RNA
Source: RNAcentral